RNAcentral lists this microRNA precursor (82 nucleotides) under Oryzias latipes (Japanese medaka). Its description in RNAcentral is "let-7 microRNA precursor family". It matches the Rfam family "let-7 microRNA precursor family". From Rfam's summary of the family: This family represents the microRNAs (miRNA) let-7 and mir-98. let-7 was identified from a study of developmental timing in C. elegans, and was later shown to be part of a much larger class of non-coding RNAs termed miRNAs. Lineage: Eukaryota; Metazoa; Chordata; Actinopteri; Beloniformes; Adrianichthyidae. The record is from Rfam by way of RNAcentral. RNAcentral also lists the same sequence under 1 other name.
GCAAGGUGAGGUAGUAGGUUGUAUAGUUUUUGGAAUAAAGCCGCUCCUGUAAAAUAACUAUACAGUUUAUUACCUUUCUUGA